RNAcentral lists this ribosomal RNA (407 nucleotides) under uncultured bacterium. Its description in RNAcentral is "partial 16S ribosomal RNA". It matches the Rfam family "Bacterial small subunit ribosomal RNA", at positions 28 to 526 of the family's 1533-position model. The record is from RNAcentral.
GACGAACGCUGGCGGCGUGCCUAAUACAUGCAAGUAGGACGCAGUUGCGAACGGGGGAGUAACGCGUAGGUAACUGCCUAUUAGAGGGGGAUAACUAUUGGAAACGAUAGCUAAUACCGCAUACUAGUAGAUGGACCUUCGUUGUAUUAGCUAGUAGGUAGGGUAAUGGCCUACCUAAGCGACGAUACCUAUCCGACCUGAGAGGUGGAUCGGACAACCUGGGACUGAGACAAGGCCCAGACUCCUACGGAGGGCAUCAGUAGGGAAUGGUCGGCAAUGGACGAAAGGCUGACCGAGCAACGCCGCGUGAGUGAAGAAGGUUUUCGGAUCGUAAAACUCUGUUGUUAGGGAAACGGUAUCUAACCAGAAAGCCACGGCUAACUACGGGCCAGCAGCCGCGGUAAUAC